GACGAACGCUGGCGGCGUGCUUAACACAUGCAAGUCGAACGGAAAGGCCCUGCUUUUGUGGGGUGCUCGAGUGGCGAACGGGUGAGUAACACGUGAGUAACCUGCCCUUGACUUUGGGAUAACUUCAGGAAACUGGGGCUAAUACCGGAUAGGAGCUCCUGCUGCAUGGCGGGGGUUGGAAAGUUUCGGCGGUUGGGGAUGGACUCGCGGCUUAUCAGCUUGUUGGUGGGGUAGUGGCUUACCAAGGCUUUGACGGGUAGCCGGCCUGAGAGGGUGGCCGGCCACAUUGGGACUGAGAUACGGCCCAGACUCCUACGGGAGGCAGCAGUGGGGAAUAUUGCACAAUGGGCGGAAGCCUGAUGCAGCAACGCCGCGUGCGGGAUGACGGCCUUCGGGUUGUAAACCGCUUUCGCCUGUGACGAAGCGUGAGUGACGGUAAUGGGUAAAGAAGCACCGGCUAACUACGUG
RNAcentral lists this ribosomal RNA (468 nucleotides) under uncultured bacterium. Its description in RNAcentral is "partial 16S ribosomal RNA". It matches the Rfam family "Bacterial small subunit ribosomal RNA", at positions 28 to 507 of the family's 1533-position model. The record is from RNAcentral.